AUACGGAGGAGCCGAGCGUUAUCCGGAUUUAUUGGGUUUAAAGGGUGCGUAGGUGGUUUGAUAAGUCAGCGGUGAAAGUUUGCAGCUUAACUGUAAAAAUGCCGUUGAAACUGUCGGACUUGAGUGUAAAUGAGGUGGGCGGAAUGCGUGGUGUAGCGGUGAAAUGCAUAGAUAUCACGCAGAACUCCGAUUGCGAAGGCAGCUUACUAAGCUACAACUGACACUGAAGCACGAAAGCGUGGGGAUCAAACAGGAUUAGAUACCCUGGUAGUCCACGCAGUAAACGAUGAUUACUAGCUGUUUGCGAUACACAGUAAGCGGCACAGCGAAAGCGUUAAGUAAUCCACCUGGGGAGUACGCCGGCAACGGUGAAACUUAAAUGAAUUGGCGGGG
Molecule: ribosomal RNA, 393 nt
Filed under: uncultured bacterium
Lineage: Bacteria
Description: partial 16S ribosomal RNA
Rfam family: Bacterial small subunit ribosomal RNA
Source: RNAcentral